RNAcentral lists this long non-coding RNA (594 nucleotides) under Setaria viridis. RNAcentral's name for it is "long non-coding RNA (SVIR_LNC004338)". Lineage: Eukaryota; Viridiplantae; Streptophyta; Magnoliopsida; Poales; Poaceae. The record is from RNAcentral.
UUGAUAGAAAUUAGCAAAGUAUACGUAAAAUAUUUGUCAAGAUAAACCUCUUUGGACUUAAUACAUGACAAAUAAUUAAACCAAAGUUCAAAUGGUUGGUUAAAGACAACCUACAAUGUCAAUUAUUUAGAACAUCAAGGAGUACUUCCGUAAUUCAAAAUUUAUUGAAUGCUACAAAUAUACUCCAUCUAUCCCAUGAAAAAUACAAUUAUAUAAUUCAAAAUUUAUCCCACAAACAAUGCAAUAGUAGCUUUUGGACCAACUUUACAUGUAACUCUUGCCUAAUAAUAUAUUUUUUUGCGAGGGCCUAAGGAUAUAAUUAGAAGCACCUAAGUCAUUUUCCUUCAUCACUGCUGUCCUAGAAUUCCUAGGAUUAUAUUCUUCAUGGGAUGGAGGGAGUAUGCUAAUAACAAACAAUGGUUAAAGACACAAAUUAACAACAAAAUUUUUUGUUAACAUAGAAUCGUAUAAUGUCCCACAACAAAAGUAUUUUUGACUAAACUACAGGCUUAAGUCUUUCAAGGCUCCCACAGUUUCCCUUCAUUCAGACUUGAACAGGCUUGUGUUGAGCCUAAAAAGCAUGGUUCGAACACU